This is a long non-coding RNA of Schistocerca americana (American grasshopper), 501 nucleotides long. RefSeq lists it as uncharacterized. Lineage: Eukaryota; Metazoa; Arthropoda; Insecta; Orthoptera; Acrididae. The record is from RefSeq and is a predicted model, not a curated record. The transcript is spliced from 2 exons.
UGUCAAUUUGUACCUCUCUAUCUACAAUAUUCCGUGAUUUAUUCAGUUUUCAAAUUUAUACUGACUUUUUGAUCACCCGAUAUAAUUAGUGACAGAAAACUGAUAGUGCAUCACAAUAACAAGAGCAAACAAGAUGAAAAGUGGGAAGAAAAAAGAUCGGAACAUAAAAACAUGCUUAUGUUUCAUAGAGUUUCGUAGGGUUACCUCCAGCAUGCAACCAGAUAGCAGGACAUGCAGGUGUCAACUGAAAAUGCGGACAACUAUUCCACUGAUGAUGCCUUAAAGUGAAAGAAAGGUGAAAUGUGCCUUGGAGAACUGAAAUACGGUGCAGCAAAGGAAGGUGUGCUUUAUUUACGAAACAAAUAUUGGUAUGGACUAUCUACAUAUACAGUAUGUUGUUUAAGUUCAUGCAAUAAAUGUUCAGUGUUGUUUAAUUCUGUGGAUAAAUAUUUGUAGUAUACUAAAGCAAGUAACGGUAAAGAAUAUAAUUAAAAACUAAAA